RNAcentral lists this ribosomal RNA (1417 nucleotides) under metagenome. Its description in RNAcentral is "bacterial LSU rRNA". It matches the Rfam family "Bacterial large subunit ribosomal RNA", at positions 1535 to 2925 of the family's 2925-position model. The record is from RNAcentral.
CCAAAAUCCGGCAGCUCUUAACUCCGAGGUGUGAUGACGAGGCUCCACGCGAGCCGAAGUGAAUAACGCCCCGCUUCCAGGAAAAGCCUCUAAGCUUCAGAUCACAUUGGACCGUACCGUAAACCGACACUGGUGGGUGAGCAGAUAAUCUGCCAAGGCGCUUGAGAGAACUCGGGUUAAGGAACUCUGCAAAUUGAUACCGUAACUUCAAGAAGGUAUGCCUUCGACGGUGUAGGGAUUUACUCCCGAAGCUGUUGAAGGUCGCAGGUAAUCGGUGGCUGCGACUGUUUAUCAAAAACACAGGACUCUGCGAACACGCAAGUGGAAGUAUAGGGUCUGACGCCUGCCCGGUGCCGGAAGGUUAAUUGAUGGGGUUAGCCGCAAGGCGAAGCUCUUGAUCGAAGCCCCGGUAAACGGCGGCCGUAACGAUAACGGUCCUAAGGUAGCGAAAUUCCUUGUCGGGUAAGUUCCGACCUGCACGAAUGGCGUAACGCUGGCCACACUGUCUCGACCCGAGACUCAGUGAAGUUGAAAUCGCUGUGAAGAUGCGGCGUUCCCGCGGCAAGACGGAAAGACCCCGUGAACCUUCACUACAGCUUUACACUGAACUUUGAACCUUUCUGUGUAGGAUAGGUGGGAGGCUAUGAAACUUGGGCGCUAGCUCGAGUGGAGCCAACCUUGAAAUACCACCCUGGGAUGUUUGAAGUUCUAACCUUGGUCCGUAAUCCGGAUUGGGGACAGUGUAUGGUGGGUAGUUUGACUGGGGCGGUCUCCUCCCAAAGAGUAACGGAGGAGUGCAAUGGUACGCUCAGCGCGGUCGGUCAUCGCGCUCUAGAGUGCAAAGGCAUAAGCGUGCUUAACUGUGAGACAGACACGUCGAACAGGUACGAAAGUAGGUCUUAGUGAUCCGGUGGUUCUGUAUGGAAGGGCCAUCGCUCAACGGAUAAAAGGUACUCCGGGGAUAACAGGCUUAUUCCUCCCAAGAGUCCACAUCGACGGAGGAGUUUGGCACCUCGAUGUCGGCUCAUCACAUCCUGGGGCUGUAGCAGGUCCCAAGGGUAUGGCUGUUCGCCAUUUAAAGUGGUACGCGAGCUGGGUUCAGAACGUCGUGAGACAGUUCGGUCCCUAUCUGCCGUGGGCGUUGGAAACUUGAGGGUGAGCUGUCCUUAGUACGAGAGGACCGGGAUGGACGUAUCUCUGGUGUUCCGGUUGUCACGCCAGUGGCACUGCCGGGUAGCUAUAUACGGACGGGAUAAGCGCUGAAAGCAUCUAAGCGCGAAGCCCCCCCCAAGAUUAGGUUUCCCUGGGAACUCGAUUCCCCUAAAGGGCCGUCGGAGACUACGACGUUGAUAGGCUGGGUGUGUAAGUGCAGCAAUGCAUUGAGCUAACCAGUACUAAUUGCCCGUGAGGCUUGACC